Long non-coding RNA from Protobothrops mucrosquamatus (brown spotted pit viper), 1744 nucleotides. RefSeq lists it as uncharacterized. The transcript is spliced from 2 exons. The record is from RefSeq and is a predicted model, not a curated record. NCBI's taxonomy places the organism in Eukaryota, Metazoa, Chordata, Lepidosauria, Squamata, Viperidae.
AUACCUGCAAACUAAUGAAUAGCAUUAAUUUUGUAGCUAGAUUUUCGGACUCCCCCAGGAUUUGAUCGAACCCGCAAUGCUGAAAUUGGCAACAAAGACAUUACGUUUAAACAUUUGGAAGAAGCCUUCACUUCAGAGCACUGGCUUGUUAGAAUAUAUAAAGUGAAAAGACUAGACAACAGAGAAACACUGGAUCAUAAGCCUAGACUAACCAACAUUUUACCAAAACAGAAGUAUUUGUCAAAAAAGACUGCCAAAAGGAAGCGUGGCUACAUUAAGAAUAAACUAAUUUUAAAGAAAGGCAAGAGACCCAACAGGAAGACAGUUUAAAAACACUGUACUGAUUGCUAAUAUUGAAGCAGUUGUCCUUGAGAUAACCAGCCUUUGCCUUUAGCUCAAGUCAUGUUUCACAGCAACAUGAGGGUACAGAACCAUCAUUGGUCCAGAUUAUUGUGCAAAACUUUCAGGCAAUGUCUGACUUAAAUUUUGGCUUACUGAGAACAGCUGUUUUAGAUUUGUAUUGUGAAGCAAGAUAGGGCUGCUGUCCAGGUCUUAGAGGCAAUUUUUAAAAAUUGGUACAUAUUUUCUUUCCACUUCAUUGAAUUUGAACUGAUUGCACCAAAGAGUCCUUUAAUUCAGUCCUUGGCACAUGCAUACUUGUCAGCUUUUUAAAUCUUCCAUUUAACAGCAAUAUCUCAACUGGAAUGGUAAAAUGUGAAUUGACUAUUCCCAUUGUGACCCUUCCAACAGUGUAGAUAUUUUGACAUUUCAGCUAGUAGAACAACUCCUUUUGAGGUAUUUAUUUUAUAAGACACCACUCAUAUUGUUGCAGUAUGUUGUGUUCAGGACUGUAUAUCAAGUUGCAAUUUCACAACUCACAGCACAGAUUAUAUGCUUGGAUGAGGCCAUUUGUUUUGAAAAGAAGUGGUCUUGCUGCUUUUCAAAUGUGUGUGGCAGAUCUUGCAUAGAAGAGGUAAAAUAUAAGAGCUACAUUUGAAUUGUAUAUCAUCUGACCUGACAGUAAUGAAUGCUACUGAGCACCAUAGCACCUGGUGUUCUCAAAACCUCCUUGUUUAGCUUCAAGUUUAUAUUCUGCAAUAUUUUAGCCUGUUAAGAGAAACAUUGACAAGUAUCCAAACUCAUUUCCUGCAUCUAUUAUAGGCAGAAGGGUUUAUACGUCUGCCUGUUUACCUGCCUUUUUCAUGAGGUUGGGUUUCUGGAAAUAACUACGUUUUUCUCUGUAUUUAGUGCUUCAGUUGAUGGAACUUCUGCUUUGAAUAUGUGCUUUUAUAGUUUAUGAAAAAUAUGAUUUAUCAAGUACACUAAAUUAUAAAUGGAGACUGAACAAGUUCACUUUCCAACUAUACAAACUUGAACAUUGUUACUUUAAUAAAAUAAAAAUGUAUAUGGGGUAGGUUUCAUUGACAGUCACAGGACAUAAUUCUGAUAUAAAAAACAGCUUAUACCAGCUUUAUUGGUGCAAAGCAGAAUAGUAUUACCUUCCCCCAAAAUUAUCUUUUGAUCAGUGAGAAAGUUACUGCUGACAUUACAGAUGUAUAGUUUUUAUUUGGAAUUUUUUUUCCUUUUGGAGUAAAGAGGUUAUAAAUCAAUAAUGCAGUAUUAACAUUUUCACAAAAUCUGGAUUUCUGACCCUUUGUCAUUAAGAUUACAUUACUUAGUUGCUUUAAAACUCAAUACAAACCAGUUGUUGACUCUAAGGAUAAAUAAAGUUAAAUCAAGUUUU